ACUAACAUUUCCUAGACAUCUCCGCCGAGUUACAUUUUUUCUCUUUCUUUCUCUUUCUUGUGUAGUUUUUUCCAAAAUUCUCACAAAUAGGUUGUCCUAAAAACCCAAAAUGGUAUCUAUACACUUGGGGAUAGAGCUUGAUUUUUCAAAUUCCAAUCAUUCUCUUCCAAAAAAAUUUUCUAAUUCUCAAACCAAAUAAUUUUCUUUGCCUACAAAAUCCUAAUUUGUCUUCUUAAUUUCGUCAUGAAACUCCAUCAUUCAUCAGUAUUGCAUUUUAUAUAGCUUGUGAGAUUUCGUUACUACUCAAAUUGUAAGCAAACAGAAACGGGGCUUCGUAAGAUAUAUUGGAUGAUCUACAGACAACAGUGAAGGGAUUGUAAAGGUUUGGAGAUUCAGUUACAGACUAUUUUGGUUGCUCAAGAUUUGGGAGUGGGAUUCUUAAACAUGUGGUGGAGAUGCAGGUCCACACAAAUCUGCUCAAGUCAGACUUAGUAGGUGUUUGGGUUUGCUGUUCGGGUUCAUCAGUGAAAAUUAGAUGUUCUUAUGAUUUAGAACGGUACCAUUGAUGGCUCCUGUUUUGAAUUUUUUGGCUUCUGCUUCAACUCCAUGCGGCAACGUUUGUUGAGCCAAUAGGAUCCUUGCCUGUCAAUUUGACUAAGUGCCAUCUGCUGUAGAAUUGGCCUACAUCAAAUCUGUUAAAGAGAAAGACUAUUAUUCGAGUAAUACCGUCUCUCCUGCUUUGUGACCUGUUAGAAUUUUAGCCUGAAGUACAUGUUUACCGCAUUUAGUAACCAAUAAUCUGGUACCAUUGCAAAGACCCUCGGAUGGAGACAGAUUUCUCAUCAGGAUAAUUGGACAUCCGAUUUUAAGAUUUAGCCUGAAUAAGGGCAUUCCUGGUGGAUUUAAAUUCUGUAGAAAUUUGCUGCUAUAAUUUGGGAUUAUGCCACUUUCGUCGGGAUUCAAUCUGUCUGCGGCUAAAUAAGUGAACGUCUCUCCGACCAAAAUAUUCAAUGCUUCCAUGUUAAUAUCGUUAACAUCAUCAUUACGUGCUGAUAAAAUGAUUCUCUCGGUUAAUUCUUCAGGUGAUACUUGAUUAGAUGUCCCUAAAGAGGGGUACAGUUUAGAUAUCAACUCUUUCAUAUCUUGCCAUCUGUGUACUGAUGAAGGGAGUUGUACUUUUUCUUCUGCUUUUGAUCCGACUACCAUAAAUUGGUAUAACAUAUAAGUUAAAUAUUGUUUUUAAUACUUUUUUUCAUUA
Molecule: long non-coding RNA, 1258 nt
Organism: Papaver somniferum (opium poppy)
Lineage: Eukaryota; Viridiplantae; Streptophyta; Magnoliopsida; Ranunculales; Papaveraceae
Exons: 6
Source: RefSeq, a predicted model, not a curated record